CACGUAGGGGACGAGCGUUGUCCGGAUUCAUUGGGCGUAAAGCGCGCGUAGGCGGCUCGGAAAGUCGGUCGUGAAAUGCCGGGGCUCAACCCCGGGACUGCGUCCGAUACUCUCGAGCUGGAAGCAGGUAGGGGAGAUCGGAAUUCCUGGUGUAGCGGUGAAAUGCGCAGAUAUCAGGAGGAACACCGGUGGCGAAGGCGGAUCUCUGGGCCUUGCCUGACGCUGAGGCGCGAAAGCUAGGGGAGCGAACAGG
This 253-nucleotide ribosomal RNA is filed under the name uncultured bacterium. Its description in RNAcentral is "partial 16S ribosomal RNA". It matches the Rfam family "Bacterial small subunit ribosomal RNA", at positions 524 to 776 of the family's 1533-position model. The record is from RNAcentral.